AUCUGGCUCUGCUCUGGGCGGGCUGUCACCAUGGUGCUGGCAGUACCCACCACCAUUCCACAACCACCAUUGAUUGAGGAGACUUGGUGCUGGUUAUACAGACUACUGACUUCGUGAAAAUUCAGAAAUCAAAAUAAUUCCUGAAUCUGCUGGCCACUGGAGAGCUGUGAACACUUUCUCUGCCAACAAGGAUUACCCAAUUACCAAAAGCAAACAAAGACAAACUGGCUAUUCAAGUACUGCAAACCAGAUAGGAAAGAUUAUUAAACUAAUACUCCCCUGGAAGAACAAGAGGACUAAUUUUCGGUGACGACAGACUUGUGCUGAUCCAUCAUCUGGAACUCCUAAAGACCUGAAUGGCUGACUGGGAUUAGUGACUACUAUCUGGUUUUACUGGUUUUACUCUACUAAGCCCAUGAUUUUGUGUUUUAACCAAUUAAGAAAAUUAUCCCAAAGCACAAUAAAAAUAGCCUAGGUCUGAAUACCACCA
Pan troglodytes (chimpanzee) is the source of this 490-nucleotide long non-coding RNA. RefSeq lists it as uncharacterized. The record is from RefSeq and is a predicted model, not a curated record. NCBI's taxonomy places the organism in Eukaryota, Metazoa, Chordata, Mammalia, Primates, Hominidae. The transcript is spliced from 4 exons.